RNAcentral lists this long non-coding RNA (1500 nucleotides) under Homo sapiens (human). Its description in RNAcentral is "HSALNT0378950". Lineage: Eukaryota; Metazoa; Chordata; Mammalia; Primates; Hominidae. The record is from RNAcentral.
GGCCUGCGCAUGCGCGCGCCCCAGGGCCCAGCCCUGUUCCUGCUCCGGCUCCUGCGGGGAUGGAUGCUUCACGCAGUAAGCGACCUAAGUCGCGGAAGCGUAGACACCCGGCUUUUCCCGCGUGCUCUAUCGGGCUCCCCUGGACACGGAGGGUGGAGCAGAAAGAGCAGAGGGGCCGGUGGGAGCCAUGGGGAGUCCGCCUAGCUCCAGAGGAAAGUGCUGCUUUCAACAUCUGCCACAUUUGCAAGAAGAGCAAAGGUGGCCCAUUUGAGACCACCCUUGAACUAAACCAUCCAGUGAGCCCCUGAGGUCGGGACAGAAGUGGCCAUGACCUUCCUCAAGCAGGGACUGUGGUGGAGCCCACCUUAUCCAGCACAAGGUGGCCUGCUGACUUCUGGUGACAGUGAUGCCAACUUCCUGGCUGUCCAAGGUUCAAAUCUUGGUCUUAAUCCUCCUGGCCUUCUCUCAUCAAUGGCCAGAGCCACCCUAGCUAACAAGGUGCCCAGGGACUCCGGGGUGGGAGAAGUCCAGCUUCUUCUUAGCUGAGGACAUUUGAGUCUCGUCACAGCCCCCAAAAGAAUACUCAUUUUUGUAGCUGGAGGGCCUGGCCUCUGUCUAUCUUUGCUUUUCCAGAAGCUGACAAGUACCUGCCGGAAAAACUGCCUCUUUUCCCUCCCGUGCUUGGAGCAGGCAUUGCUGACAGAUCACAGCUGCUGGGCCCAAAGGUCCCUUUGCACGCGGGACUUCAGGAAGUUGCUGCUGACCUAUGGGAGUUGGUGCAGAAAGAUGAAAUUUGUUAUCCUUGGCUGUAUCAACUCUCUCUCCUCUCCUUGGUGGUGAUAGUUUUGUUCUUAAAAGCCUCUUGUGAGAGAAUUUGUGGAUGAAGAACCUGUAAGAUCACAAGUGAAACAAUUUAUUGAUGUCAAUAGAUUUAUACACGUUCAUUAAGAAUCAAAACUAAACUAAAACAUCAGUCUGACUAAAGAGACCACCACAGAUAUUUCAUAUGCUGUACAUCAGUAACAAAGGGUACCAAAUAGUUAAUAUCCAUGUACUAGUCACAUGAGAAAUGUUUUAGGGUCAUUGACCAGUGUAGUCAGUACAGUGGUCCCAUGGUAUUUGUGGGGGAUUGGUUCCAGGAAUCUCUUGGACACCAACUCCGUGGAUGAUCAGACAAUAUAAAAUGUGGGUCAGGUGCGGUGGCUCAUACCUGUAAUCCCAGCAUUUUGCGAGAAUCACUUGAGGCCAGUUCAAGAUCAGCCUGUGCAACAUAGCAAGACUCCACCUCUAAAAAAAAAAAAAAAAAAAAAAAUUAGCCCAGUGCAGCGGUGUGCACCUGUAGUCCCAGCUUCUCAUGAGGUUGAGGUGAAAAGAUCACUUGGGCCCAGGAGUUUGAGGCUGCAGUGAGCUGUGACUGCCACUGCACUCCAGCCUGAGUGACAAAGCAAGUCCCUGUCUCUUAAAAAAUAAAAUAAAAUAAUAGCAUUUGAAUGUAACCUA